UGCCAUUUGGAACACACAUACUCCAUGCUGCAGCCCCAGGCCUGGGAGUGAUGACCAGAGGGGAGACUGUGACAGCCAGGGUAUAAUAACACCUCCAGCCACGGACAAAGCAGACCCCGGGGGUCAAUUUUUAAAUACUUUAUGCUUUAGACCAAUGGUUAAUUACAACAGAAGCACAGGAUCUUGCCCUAUGGAGAAGAAUAUCGUUCUAUUCGGGAUGCACUGAGGCCAUUUUCACAUUGACAAUAGCAAAGGGACAUUUUUGAGAGAUUCUCAAGAGGUAUCGAUUCUCCAAAGACAAUACUUUUGUGGAAAUUUGCAAAAUGACCACAUCUCGAGCGCGACCUCCGGAGGUCGCCUCCCAGUGUGAGCAGAAUUGUCUCAUUGAGCUCAACACUCCUACAGUAAAAAUGGUGCUGUGACAAAUGUCAGAUGCCACACGUUUGCCGGCGGCCCAGCUGUGCUGAUCUCGUGGACACAAUGCUACAAAUGAAGAAACAUAACCUACUGUAUAUGUAUGAUCUACACUGAGUGUACACAGCAUCAAGGACACCUGCUCCUUUCAUUACAGACCGACCAGGUGAAUCCACGUUUAAGCUAUGAUCCCUUAUUGAUGACACUUAUUAAAUCCAAUUCAAUCAGUGUCGAUGAAGGGGAGGAAACAUGUUAAAGAAUGAUUUUUAAGCCUCGAGACAAU
Long non-coding RNA from Oncorhynchus gorbuscha (pink salmon), 697 nucleotides. RefSeq lists it as uncharacterized. The transcript has 3 exons. NCBI's taxonomy places the organism in Eukaryota, Metazoa, Chordata, Actinopteri, Salmoniformes, Salmonidae. The record is from RefSeq and is a predicted model, not a curated record.